UCCUUCCUCUCUUAGUAGGACAGUAUGGAGAAAGUUGGUAUCUUUAUUUAUUUAUUUAUUUUAUUUUUCAUCAAAAGAAAGAUUCAUCUUCUACUUGGAUAACCAGAGAUAUCAUAUUGAUGGAUUCCAUAAAAAGAUCCAAAUUAUUAUGGUAUACUAUAGGAAUGGAGUCUCACUUAUAAAGAGGGAUACCUAACAUGAGUCUUUUUGUCCUUGGGAUAUUCACUACUAGUUGAUUAGUGGUUUGCCCUUGGGUG
This 257-nucleotide long non-coding RNA is filed under the name Elaeis guineensis (African oil palm). RNAcentral describes it as "long non-coding RNA (EGUI_LNC002950)". The record is from RNAcentral. Lineage: Eukaryota; Viridiplantae; Streptophyta; Magnoliopsida; Arecales; Arecaceae.